RNAcentral lists this ribosomal RNA (817 nucleotides) under marine metagenome. Its description in RNAcentral is "bacterial SSU rRNA". It matches the Rfam family "Bacterial small subunit ribosomal RNA", at positions 26 to 891 of the family's 1533-position model. The record is from RNAcentral.
AGAACGUACGCUGGCGGCACGCCUAACACAUGCAAGUCGAACGAAGUAGCAAUACUUAGUGGCAGACGGGUGAGUAACAUGUAGGUAUCUACCCUUUGGCCUGGAAUAACACGAGGAAACUUGUGCUAAUACCGGAUAAGUCUUUACGGAGAAAGCUUUAUGCACCAUUGGAUGAGCCUGCACUUGAUUAGUUUGUUGGUAGGGUAAUGGCCUACCAAGACUGUGAUCAAUAGCUGAUUUGAGAGGAUGAUCAGCCACAUUGGGACUGAGACACGGCCCAAACUCCUACGGGAGGCAGCAGUGGGGAAUCUUGCACAAUGGAGGAAACUCUGAUGCAGCGAUGCCGCGUGAGUGAAGAAGGCCCUUGGGUUGUAAAGCUCUUUCGUCGGGGAAGAAAAUGACUGUACCCGAAUAAGAAGGUCCGGCUAACUUCGUGCCAGCAGCCGCGGUAAUACGAAGGGACCUAGCGUAGUUCGGAAUUACUGGGCUUAAAGAGUUCGUAGGUGGUUGAAAAAGUUGGUGGUGAAAUCCCAGAGCUUAACUCUGGAACUGCCAUCAAAACUUUUCAGCUAGAGUUUGAUAGAGGAAAGCAGAAUUUCUAGUGUAGAGGUGAAAUUCGUAGAUAUUAGAAAGAAUACCAAUUGCGAAGGCAGCUUUCUGGAUCAUUACUGACACUGAGGAACGAAAGCAUGGGUAGCGAAGAGGAUUAGAUACCCUCGUAGUCCAUGCCGUAAACGAUGUGUGUUAGACGUUGGAAAUUUAUUUUCAGUGUCGCAGCGAAAGCAAUAAACACACCGCCUGGGGAGUACGACCGCAA